CAUAAAAAAGAAAAACAUCGUUCAAAUAUUACAAUCCAACAACAACAACCAACCAUAACCAAGCGAGAAAUUCAAGAUUUUUUUAAACCAGCUGAACAAAUUUACGAUUAUGAUGUUCAAUCUCGCAAUGGUCAUAAGCGCUCAUAUCAUAAGGAAAAUUCAAACGAAGCGGCAAAUGCUAAAAAAGCACGUUUACUUCUUGUACAGUCUCCCGGCUUUAUCCACAUCCCUCAUUAUGGGUUUGUUAUGGACAAUGUAUGUUUGAAAAGGUUUAAUGUAUGUGAAGCUGUUAUGUGUGUGUGUGUGUGUGUGUGUGUGUGUGAAACAUUCCUAUGCAUAACGUAUGAUUUAGCUAGGUACUUAUUCGUAAAUGAAUAAAAUAGGUAUCGAUAUGUUAACUAUAUAUAAUAUGUUUGGUUGUUGUGUAUGUGUGAUGUAAGAUUACUUAUGUAAUAUGUGUGUAUUGCGUUUAGUAUGUAUGUGAUGGUAAAUAUGUUAUGUGUGUGUGUAAAUAAAAGGGGAAGAAAUAUAAUUGAUUGGGAAGGGGAAAAAUAUUUGAUGGUCAGGUGUCAUAUUUAGUCAAAAUCAGAAUAUUAUAUACAUUAUUUUUCUUCAAAAGGUAGGGGGUUUGAAGGAGAAGGUAUAAAUUAAUAUAUGCCGGUUACGUGUAGGAUCUGGUGUUGGUGUUGGGUUUAUGCGUGUUGCAGGUUGCCUAUAUUGAGUAAUUAAUACAAGUUUGGGAGGAGCUGUGUAGUUGUUGCCUAUACAGAGGAGCCUAUGCUUUUAUAUGUAAACUUUAAGGGGGAGGAGAUCUAGAAUCCCCAUUUUACACCUACUAUUUAUAUAAUUAAUAUGUGUUUACAUAAAAAAUUAAUAAACAAAUAGGUACAAUUGCCUACUGGAAUAGAGCUCAAAUUGUACGUUUCGUUCAUACUAUCAUCACACACGCUUGUCGUAACUAAAAUAAUGAUUUAUGUUCCUUCUAAGGCCAAUCUUUUUUUAUUCACGUACCCCAAGUAUAAAUUUAGAAUAUAAAUAAUCGAAAAUAAUAGUAAUAUUAAUACGUUUUUUUUAGGAGUAAGAAACGUAGAAGCUGUAGAAAAAAUGUUUUUAAUAAGUAAAUAAUAUAAUAUAAAUAAACUUUAAAAAUUUCCUGACUUACAAAGUAGAGAAUGAUCUAUACCUCAUAGAAAAAUGUAUACCUAUUAUUUGUAUAAUAUUUACCUCACAUCUUUAAUUAGUUAAAAUAGUGUUAAAAAAUUUCCAUCCGCUACUACUUGAUUUCUUCUAUUCGUAGAUUGAUAACCGCCAUGGUUAAUUACUAACUUCAAAGCAAAAGUUUAUUAAAUCAGGUAGUUUGCCUUUUAAUACCAAUGAUAAAAUCUUCACAAACUCGGACCCAGUUAGGCUCUCCUCGUUUGUUAUGCAACUUAUUAAAAACAUUUUUUCUACAGCUUCUACGUUUCUUACUCCUAAAAAAACGUCCAUGAAUUGCAUGAAUAGUAACUGAUCCAUAGGAAUUGUAUCUUCUUUUGUUAGGAUGUAGUGCAUCUGCAGUAAUCGCAGUACUUCGAUUUUGUUAAAAUGUGUUGAUCUCGAAAGUUCGGUUGCAAUUUCUGAAUAUCGGUGCUGCAGACGAAUGUCCACGGUCACCGUACAAGUAUUGAAGCAACACCUGUUGGAACAGAAAUAGACUUUUUAGUAGCUGAUAAUGCUCUACCUGAAUCAUCAUCAAGGGAUGAACAAAAUCUCAACAAACCUUGUAUGAAUUGUCUUCCUGGUGAUGAAAAUAUUAUUUUAACGCCAUUGUCUAAUUUAGAAUGUAAUGAAGUCGAUUAAACUUUUGAAUCGUCAACAAAGAAAAAAUGUUGGUCUGGACGGCGAAUUGUAGAUAUAUACUACAUAUUUGAACAAAUUAAAACGUGUGUUCACGAGGGAAGUUUUGGAUGUUCAUUUAUGGAUAUGGAGUUUAUAUCUGAAAAGCAAUAUGGCCUGAGAUCUACGUAUACAUUUAAAUCUGCGAUCGGUGGUUCAAUUUCAAUUGGAAUAGGAUAUUCUCAGCUCGAAGAAAUGUUGGCUUCAUUAGAUAUCCCUUGCAUGAGUGAUAAAACGUUUCAAUCUUGCCAAAAUCAAAUUAGUGAAUCUAUUCAUCAGGUCGCUGAGGAAGCAAUGAGAAUCGCAGGGGAAGAAGAAAAAAAAUUAGCUAUUGAAUCGGGAGAAAUUGAUAUUGACGGGACACCUAUGUGUGCCGUUGUUGCCGAUGGUCAAUGGUCUAAGCGUAGCUAUAAGACCAAAUACAACGCAUUACCUGGAGUGGCAACAAUUAUCGGAUAUAAAACCAAAAAAAUAUUAUUUAUCGGUAGCCGCAAUCGAUAUUGUUUAAUAUGCCAAAGAGCAAAAAAUACGAAUGUCGCUAUACAAGAACAUGUUUGUUUUAUGAACUGGAAUAAAGCUGCUACAGCAAUGGAAGCAGAUGCCGUUGCAGAAGGUUUCAAAAGAAGCAUUGAAUUACACGGAUUGAAAUUUAAUAAAUUAAUUGGCGACGGUGAUUCAAAUGUCAGUAAAAGAUUGACAGAAACAAGACCUUAUGGACCUAAUUUUAUUAUUGAAAAAAUUGAAUGCCGAAAUCACUUAUUAAGAAAUUAUGGUACAAAGUUAGCGGCAUUUGGUAAAAACACAAAAUAUCCAAUAUAUCUCAGAAAACAUAUAUUAAAUAAUGCGAAGAGAUUUAGAACUGCUAUUACGAAAGCUAUUGAUUAUCGUAAUACAUUAAAUCAACAAAGCAAAUAUCAAAAAAAUUCAGGUUUACGCAAAGAUAUAUCAAAUAGUUUUUGUCAUAUUUUGGGUAAUCAUGAGCAAUGUGAAGAAUAUUUUUGCAAAGGUAAAAAAUUAAAUGAAGUAAACCUAUACGAAGAUGCGGAAAAAUGUGGUCUUUACAGAGAAGUAAAUCAAAUAAUCAAACGAUUAGCAAUGCAUGCAGAUAGUUUGUUAAUGAAUGUGGAUAAUAACGUAUGCGAGCAAUUCAACAGCAUUAUUAACAAACAUUUGGCUGGCAAACGAAUAAAUUUUUCAUUACGUCAAUCAUAUAACACUCGAAUUGAAUCCGGAGUAAUUUCAUACAACACCUCAGGCCAACUAUUGCGCUCAUUACACAAACAUGUAGUCCAUAAAAUUAGUCCAGGAAAUGUUGGUAAACGUUUUUUAAAAUCAAGAGAACGAAAAACCGUGUUAUUAAAAAACAGAAGAAAAUUAAUUCCUAAAAGGAAAUUAUUUUUAGAUAAAUCGUGUGGGGCCGAUGCAAAUUACGGUUUAGCUGAAGCACUAAUUGACGAGUAUACGCAGGACGAUCUCGAACGUAAAAAAACAUCCAACUUUGGACGGAUUUGUAAACGAAGACCAACUACCUCAUGUAAAAAUAUUAUAUAUGAUUUACUAUAUAGAUCAUUUACAUCAAUCGCAACUGAAUAUGGUAAAGAAAUGGAGCCAUUAGCGAUUAAAGAAUUUGAAAAUAUAAAAGGCAAAACAAUUUUACCUUGUGGUCUGAUGAUUGAUCAAGAUUUUUCGUAUUUAGCUGCAUCUCCAGAUGGUUUAACCGAAGAUAAUGGUUUAGUAGAAAUUAAGUGUCCUUAUUCAGCGAAAGAUUAUACAAAUAUUAAUGACGCUAUAAUAGAAAAAAAGAUAAACUUUCUUCGAUUAAAUUUAAAUAAAGAACCCGAAUUAAAAAAAAACGCAUGAUUACUAUUAUCAGAUACAAGGGCAGCUGCAUAUUAGUAAAAAAAAAAUAUUGUGAUUUUAUAGUGUAUUCUAGUAAUUGGUUACAUGUAGAAACUAUUUAUUAUAAUAAUGGAUUUUGGAUAAAUGUCAUGCAACCUAAAUUAACAAUGUUUUACUUAAAUUGCUUGUUACCAGAAAUCGUGAUACCUCAGUAUGGUAAACGACUAUUAGUUGAAGAUAUCAAAGACCCUGAAGAAAUGAAGACAUAAGAUCUAACCUUAUAUACCUAGCUAGUAGCUACCUAUGCUUUAUAUAAAAUAUUUUUAUUUAAAUAAUAAACUAAUGAAAUAUUAAAAUAUUUUAAUUAUUUUUUAU
RNA transcript from Aphis gossypii (cotton aphid), 4089 nucleotides. RefSeq lists it as uncharacterized. The transcript has 15 exons. NCBI's taxonomy places the organism in Eukaryota, Metazoa, Arthropoda, Insecta, Hemiptera, Aphididae. The record is from RefSeq and is a predicted model, not a curated record.